UUUCAAGGAGAAACAGAGUUUAGGUUUUGCAAUUCUUAAAGAGCUCGCAACAAAGAAGAGUUGUUGAACAUAAUUUGCAAAUAAAUUGUAUAACAGAGAUAGAAGAAUGAGAGGAGACAGUAAAUCUAUUUCAUGGUCCAAAAAAGAAAAUUACAAGCAGUUGUAAUUUGUAACUACUAAUUGAAAUUACAAAGUUACUCCUCUCCCUAAUUUGGCAUGUUACAACUACUCCCUCCCUAAGAAUCCUUGUCCUUAAGGAUUAAACUAGGGAUGUCAAAAUGAUUAAAAGAAAUUAAUUAACCACCCAUACUAUCCAAUAAAAAAUGAGUUCGAACUUUUUAAAAACGGUCAAAUAUGGAUAAGAACCAUAUUACCCAUUUAGAAAAUGGAUAACCAAUGGAUAAAUAACUUUUAUACUUUUAAGACCUUAAAUUGGGAGUUCCUCAAGUUUUGGAGAAUCCUUAAAAGUGAUCAUAUUCAAGAUAUUAUCUGGCGGUUAACUCAUUUUAUUUACCGUAUUAAAUAUGGAUCGGGUCGGAUAAUUUAUUCGUAUUUUCAUUACCUGUUUUUACCCGUCUCAUAUCUGACCCAAACCGUCCGUUUGCCACCCCGAGAUUAAACAAAGGAAAUUAUUGCUGGAGUGUAUGAAGAUCUACCGAAGUACUAUCUUCAGAAGCACAAUUGAACCACUUCACUAAGACUUGUGUGACUGCACGAUUGUUCUUGGGCACAAUUCUUCUAUCUAUAAAGCUUCAGGCUCUAGUAUAACAUGACCAUGUUUGGAAAGAGAGAUUGGAAGGUGAGGGACAGCAUGUUUGUUGCCAAUCAUCUUCUAGUUGUGACACAUGAAAUGUAUGAAAUAUAUUCAGGGUCUGCAAUGUAGCUUCCAUAUCUGAGUGGCCACCGAUAGGACUAGGGGUGUGCAUUCGGUUUAUCAAUUCGAUUUUUAUCCUUAUCGAUAAUUACUUAUCGGUUAUAGAUUUUUACAUAUGCUUAUCGUUAUCGUUUCAAUAAGGUUUCGAUUUUUUCGAUUUCGNNNN
RNAcentral lists this long non-coding RNA (1040 nucleotides) under Nicotiana benthamiana. RNAcentral's name for it is "long non-coding RNA (NBEN_LNC031868)". The record is from RNAcentral. Lineage: Eukaryota; Viridiplantae; Streptophyta; Magnoliopsida; Solanales; Solanaceae.